UGUCCGACCGUAGGUGCCGUCCGGCCGGGGAGCGGCGCUCCCGGCCUGGGGUUCCCCCAGCGUGGGGCCUUUCCCGCCCGCAGCGCUGAGGCCGAGGGUUUUCACCGUGAGCGUGGGGCUCCAGCCCUUCGCGUGGGUAUCGCUUAUCCCGUGUGUCCUUCCGGGGUCGCCUCCGGCCGAGCUGCUGGCGGGGGUUGCGGAAUGGGGCGGGGAGCACCCAAACUGCGGUCGCUUGGGCGAGGGAAGGCCAGAAGUGGGUAGCGGAGGGAAAACGGGUAGACUGUUUCAGUGAUUUGGCUUAUGCUGCGGGUCUGCAAAGAGUCGAAGCAGCCACACUGCAGGCAGGAGCUGUAAGUUGCGGCAGCGACGUAGGAGUGAGCCAAGGAACCAGGAAACAUGAAAUCACUCAUCCUCUGCCUAGGUAUAAAAGAAGUUUGAAGAGUUUAUAUGCCUGUACCCGCCAAGAUGAGGCAAGAAAAAGAUUGACUUUUUGCACCUGGUUUCCUAACAACUUAUAAGCCAAAUGAACAGGGAGAACAACUACGCUCCAGUACCACUGUAGCCUUCCAACUGUGAAAGAUGUGGCGCUACAGCUCUCUGCCAUUCUCUACUGCUCAAGCUACAGACCCUGGGCAGAAGCUGCUGCGUGGCUACCUGAGGUUUAGGCUUCUGUGUGUUACGCUUGUUAAGCUGCUUCAGAAACUGACUUUGCCUGCUCUGUGAUUAAAGCAAACUAUCCCCCACUUA
Molecule: long non-coding RNA, 747 nt
Organism: Athene cunicularia (burrowing owl)
Lineage: Eukaryota; Metazoa; Chordata; Aves; Strigiformes; Strigidae
Exons: 3
Source: RefSeq, a predicted model, not a curated record